GUUUACAGUAGAGGCUCGAAUGAAAUUUGCUUAUAGUAGAUAUCUGGGGUAGACAGCCCGCUAUAGGAAUUAAGAGUAGACCACUCGUAGUAGAAGUUCAACUCUCGCGGGAGCUUGGUUGGGAUCCGGAAGGGAUUUGGAGAAUAGUUGAUUACUGUAGAAGGUCGGCUGGCAGUGAGGCUUAGAGAGCUUUUGGGGUGGCCCGGU
RNAcentral lists this long non-coding RNA (207 nucleotides) under Elaeis guineensis (African oil palm). RNAcentral's name for it is "long non-coding RNA (EGUI_LNC047024)". Lineage: Eukaryota; Viridiplantae; Streptophyta; Magnoliopsida; Arecales; Arecaceae. The record is from RNAcentral.